This 1478-nucleotide long non-coding RNA is filed under the name Zonotrichia albicollis (white-throated sparrow). Its description in RNAcentral is "lncRNA (ENSZALG00000013993.1)". The record is from RNAcentral. Lineage: Eukaryota; Metazoa; Chordata; Aves; Passeriformes; Passerellidae.
CUGAAGGCAGCUGUCAAAUUACAAAUGAGAUACUAAUAUCAAAUUAGAAAGCAUAUCUGUGAGACAGCUGUGCUCCUUAUUCAAAAUUCAUUUAAGCUGUAUUCUCCUGCACCGUAACUAUGUAAGUUUAGCCAUGCACAGAAAAAGUGCAUUAUUUUUGGAACUUUCUCAAGGUUGUCUGCAUGUCCUUGUUUUCACUGGGUUGUUAGUCUUACCUCAUCAAUCAAACAUUCAUGCACAAACUGUUUUCAUUCAAACCAAUCAAAAUUCACAGCAAAAUCGUUUAUGUAUUUUAAAUUUCCCAUAUUUGCAACUUGCUUUUUUUUCACUUUUGUCUUUAUUUUGCCUCUAAGUUCCACUUUUUCUAUUGUUUUAUCUGUCAGUAAUUCCAAAUUGUGAACAACAUACUUUUUUCUUUUGUUUUACAGCUGCCAUGCAGUCACAUCUGUCACUGGCCUGUCACAUGGAAGAAAGUGCAGCUUGUGGACCCUGUCAUCUUCAUAUUCCAGACUCAAGCUCUCCAAACUACGUUUAUCGUCAGACAGAUAUUUGAAGUGACAAAGCGAACAAGAAAGCUGAGAUUUCUUCACACUCUGCCUAGACACGUCUUAGUCCUCACCGCAGCAAGGUUGGUGCACCUCUUCCCAGCCAUGUCUGUCUGCUCCCCUUCCCCCCCACCUUCUCUUCCGUCGCUCCAUGUUCCCUCACAGAGCUCUUCCAAGCCCACAUGCAGCACCAGGCGACUCUCGGGCCGCGCAGUGCCGCCGCAGGAGCCGCGGGCCCGCGGGCCCCUCGCUCAGCCGGGCUGCUACCGCCACCCCGAGCCCGCCCAGCGCCCCCGGGCACCACCCGGUGCUGGCUGCGCGGUCGUUUCGGGCUGGGAACACGAGACAGCCCUUCGAUCCCAUGAGCCGCAGAGGAGUUGGUCCUGCGAGCGUUCCAACGUUACCGGUACCGCAGCGUUGAGGAAAGCAACAGAAAGGCCAAACAAGCGCUGCCAAGGGCUCCGUGUGGCUCUUCCCUGGUGGUAUUUGUAAGCUCGUAUGAAGGAUGUUGAAGAGACUGUCUCACAUAAAGAUCUUGAAAGGCUGCAGGGACUUCUUUGCCAGUGAGAACUAAAGCAUGACUGCUAUCCAGGAAGUGAGUGGUAAGUCUUAAUGAUAAGGAAAUGUACGUCAACCUGAAGUGGGCAUUAAACAUUCUUGUCAAACUCUAAAGCAUGAAUUAACAAGAAAUACUUGCUUCUCAGUAGUGUAUCUGACUUCAAUUUUGUUUUAAAUGCAGGUGAAUCAGCUCUGUUUUCUUACUGAACUUCAGUUUUUAGUGUUAGUACUGUGGAAGUUUUAUGAAAACUGUAUGCUUUUCCCAGUGUUUUUCUAUUAAAAAUUUAUUCAUGAAUUUUUAAUUUUCAACAGGAUAUUUUUGGCUGAACUAUUUAGCUUUCUACUGUCACUAAAUAAAAGUGUAAUUAUUAAUCA